GAUGAACGCUGGCGGCGUGCCUAACACAUGCAAGUCGAACGGAGUCGUUUUGGAAAUCUCUUCGGAGAUGGAAUUCUCGACUUAGUGGCGGACGGGUGAGUAACGCGUGAGCAAUCUGCCUUUAAGAGGGGGAUAACAGUCGGAAACGGCUGCUAAUACCGCAUAAAGCAUUAAAUUCGCAUGUUUUUGAUGCCAAAGGAGCAAUCCGCUUUUAGAUGAGCUCGCGUCUGAUUAGCUAGUUGGCGGGGUAACGGCCCACCAAGGCGACGAUCAGUAGCCGGACUGAGAGGUUGAACGGCCACAUUGGGACUGAGACACGGCCCAGACUCCUACGGGAGGCAGCAGUGGGGAAUAUUGCGCAAUGGGGGAAACCCUGACGCAGCAACGCCGCGUGAUUGAAGAAGGCCUUCGGGCUGUAAAGAUCUUUAAUCAGGGACGAAACAAAUGACGGUACCUGAAGAAUAAGCUCCGGCUAACUACGUG
RNAcentral lists this ribosomal RNA (483 nucleotides) under uncultured bacterium. RNAcentral's name for it is "partial 16S ribosomal RNA". It matches the Rfam family "Bacterial small subunit ribosomal RNA", at positions 28 to 507 of the family's 1533-position model. The record is from RNAcentral.